Molecule: ribosomal RNA, 301 nt
Filed under: uncultured bacterium
Lineage: Bacteria
Description: partial 16S ribosomal RNA
Rfam family: Bacterial small subunit ribosomal RNA
Source: RNAcentral
CAGUCGCCGCGGUAAUACGAAGGGGGCUAGCGUUGCUCGGAAUUACUGGGCGUAAAGCGUGCGCAGGCGGUGUUGUAAGACUGAUGUGAAAUCCCCGGGCUCAACCUGGGAACUGCAUUGGUGACUGCAACGCUGGAGUGCGGCAGAGGGGGAUGGAAUUCCGCGUGUAGCAGUGAAAUGCGUAGAUAUGCGGAGGAACACCGAUGGCGAAGGCAAUCCCCUGGGCCUGCACUGACGCUCAUGCACGAAAGCGUGGGGAGCGAACAGGAUUAGAUACCCGAGUAGUCCCUGUCUCUUAUAC